CAAUGGCAUAUAUUAACGUUGUCGCAGUUGAAAAGCUCGUAGUUGAACUUUUGGUAGGAGCGACCUGGCCUUGGGCGCAUGCCCUUGUUUGCCGUGUGUCGUAUCUGGCCAUCCUUUUCCGUUUCGGCGGGAAUCUUUUACUGUGAGUAAACUGGAGUGCUCAAAACAAGACGUUUGUUUGGUACAUUAAAGCAUGGAAUAAUAAGAUAGGACCUGGUUACUAUUUUGUUGGUUUGCAUAGCUAGGUAAUGAUUAACAGGGACAGUUGGGGGUAUUCGUAUUUAAUUGUCAGAGGUGAAAUUCUUGGAUUUAUGAAAGACGAACGACUGCGAAAGCAUUUACCAAGGAUGUUUUCAUUAA
Molecule: ribosomal RNA, 360 nt
Filed under: uncultured eukaryote
Lineage: Eukaryota
Description: partial 18S ribosomal RNA
Rfam family: Eukaryotic small subunit ribosomal RNA
Source: RNAcentral